GAUGAACGCUGGCGGCGUGCCUAAUACAUGCAAGUCGAGCGAAUUUACGAGAAGCUUGCUUCUCUGAUGUUAGCGGCGGACGGUUGAGUACCACUUGGAUAACCUACCUAUAACACUGCGUUAACUUCGGGAAACCGUUGCUAAUACCUGCUAAUAUUUUGAACCUCAUGUUUCAAAAUUGAAAGACGGUCUUGCUGUCACUUAUAUCUGUAUUCGCGCUGCAUUAGCUAGUUGGUAAGGUAACGGCUUACCAAGGCAACGAUGCCUAGCGUACCUGGGAGGGUGAUCGGCCACACGGGAACGGAGACACGGUCAAGACUCCUACGGGAGGCAGCAGUAGGGAAUCUUCGGCAAGGGGCGAAAGCCUGACGGAGAAACGCCGCGUGAGGGAGGAAGGUCUUCGGAUCGUAAAACUCUGUUAUAAGGGAAGAGAAUAUGUGUAAGUAACUGUGCACAUCUUGACGGUACCUAAUCAGAAAGCCACGGCUAACUACGUG
Molecule: ribosomal RNA, 497 nt
Filed under: uncultured bacterium
Lineage: Bacteria
Description: partial 16S ribosomal RNA
Rfam family: Bacterial small subunit ribosomal RNA
Source: RNAcentral